Daphnia magna is the source of this 1978-nucleotide long non-coding RNA. RefSeq lists it as uncharacterized. The transcript is spliced from 7 exons. Lineage: Eukaryota; Metazoa; Arthropoda; Branchiopoda; Diplostraca; Daphniidae. The record is from RefSeq and is a predicted model, not a curated record.
UGUACAGGACCUUAUGGAAAAUCAGGAUUCGUCUGAUUAACAACAAUACACUAGAAACGCUAUAUACCAGAUGUAGCAUGUAGCCUAGUUGUUAGGGAUUCAAGACGUGUUCAGAGAGAAGUUAAUAAAUGUACAGUGCGUUCCGUUUUAAACAUUUUUUUGGCUACUCGUUAAUACACUGAAAUUUGCCAUUUUUUCGUACCGACCUGAGGGACACUUUUUUACGACACACACGAUUGUUUGAAAGUUGAUUUUUCACUAGACGUCAUUUGAAUGUGCAGUUCCUAUCCGCAUCCCCCAGUCCUACAGUGUGCAAAAAUAGACAGUUGAAAAAAUCUGCUCAUUGUGCUAAUCUGCACAAUGCCGGCUUCAUGAAAUUUGCAGCUGCAGACUUUCUUUAGAUGACUGGUAUCAGAAAUAUUUUCCUGCUUCUUGGAACAAGGAACAUAGGAUGUCUUGAUGCCAACAAAGUGUCAUAUUGGACAAUUGUAAAAAGAAGUCAAGCAGGAGAAACCUUAAGUUGGAGGAUGAUAUAUUUGUUUCCUGUUACUUGUUUUGUAAAACAAAUGGGAAACUGAUUGAUUCUAAAUCGUCAGCUUCCUAGGCAGACACCCAUCAACAAAGCCAUGGGGGAUAGAUUAUAUUCACAAUGGGCACAACUGCAUUGUAAUUUGCUGUCACUUUUACAAAGCUAAACAGGUAUAGCAAAAAUGGCAAAAUUUUUUUAUAUAGAAUUAUGCUGUUUUUUGCUACAUUGGACAGCAGAUUUAGAUCAUGUGUCUACUGUGAAAGAGAUCAUGUGUCUCAACGAAAAUGGCUCUCCCAAGUGUGUCAUUCUGAUGCAGAACCCUUGAAAACAAGUUGACCGUUUUGAACAAUCUCAGGACAAAGCUCAAGCUCUAGUUUGCAGUGGUAUUAGAAAAGUCGUCUUUUUUUGGUUAGAGUUUCUUCGCCGUCCGAUGCAUCAGCUGGAAUGAUGUUCAGUUCCUCGACCUCAUUGCUCACGUAAUUUAAUAACUUUGGGCUUCGAAAAAAGUUGUACUAAUCUUCAAUUUUUAAAAGAUAAUUUUGAUUCAUUAUUCUUAUCUCGUGGUUGUAUCGAUCCGGAAAGGUAAAUCGGAAGAGGGUAUUUUUUUCCUUGACAUAAGAACGGAAAUUUAUCCGUAUCCAAACAGAUCAAAUGCACGAGGUAUUCCGCCUCGUCCGGCAACUUACCAGCCAGCAACGCAUCCAUCAACAGAAUGUUUAUGGAUUAAUGGUUAUAUCGUCGUUAUAAUGAAUAGAAGGUUAGUGGUGGUCACGGUGGUUCACCCCCAUGAGAGUGAACUGGUUGAGUAAAUAGAUUUAUGUUGAUGAUUCGUGUUAUCGUUACCGUUUUAGACUGAAAAUCACGAGAUCAAUUUUCACUCUACACAAUUUCUAUUAUUUCUAAGUUUCUACAUGUUGCAGCUACAUUAUAUAGAAAUACAGUCUAAAUGUUCAUGUAACUCAUGGCUCUAUGGUUGAGCACCGGUGUUGUAUGCCGAAAGUCUAGGAUCGAUUCCCGACAGAGUUAAAAUGCUGUAUGGUUUUAAAUUAGUCAAUGAAACUUGUACACAAAACGGUAAGCUCAAUCAAUUAUUGUAUAAUCCUGAAAUAUCACAAGAUGAAUGCGAAGUAAGACGGAGAAUAUAAUAGCGGUAAAACAAUAAAAUGCUUUUCCUAGGUACAGCAAUGUGCAAGAGCAGUAGAACUUCAUGCCAACCACAAGGAUUCUGCUUUUGCAUACACCUUCAUUAUUAAUGUGUUUCUUCAGGUAUGGUCACUAUCAGCAGCUUUACACACAGUGUGCAUCGUGAAUACAUCAAUCCCAGAGAAAACAUUCCAAUGGAAAAUAUUGAGAAUUUCUGCCCUUCUAUCCUGAACUAAACAAUGCUGGGAGAUUGGUUAUCUCUUCACAGAGAUGAGUCAUCCGCUCCUUGGACAACGCUGCGAUCGU